CCGCUCUGCUAAAGAGAGGAAGGAAUGGGCAACGGUAGGUCAGCAUGCCCCGAAUUAUCUGGGCUACACGCGGGCUACAAUGGGUGGGACAAUGGGUAUCGACACCGAAAGGUGAAGGCAAUCUCCUAAACCCAUCCGUAGUUCGGAUUGUGGGCUGCAACUCGCCCACAUGAAGCUGGAAUCUGUAGUAAUCGUGUCUCAAAAUGGCACGGUGAAUAUGUCCCUGCUCCUU
Molecule: ribosomal RNA, 232 nt
Filed under: uncultured Methanomicrobiales archaeon
Lineage: Archaea; Methanobacteriati; Methanobacteriota; Methanomicrobia; Methanomicrobiales
Description: partial 16S ribosomal RNA
Rfam family: Archaeal small subunit ribosomal RNA
Source: RNAcentral